CAAUUGAAUAUUCAGAUGAAUUGGAUAAUAACUAGAAUAUUUUUUCAGGCUCAGGCUGUAGAGCCUGAACUUGUUUCAAAGUUGCUCGGUCAUGGUGUCGCAGUAUCUCCCAUAGUCACGGUGGAACCUAGAAGGCGUAAAUUCCACAAAGCAAUAACAUUGAGCAUGCCAGCUCCAAAAGCUCACUCACAAGGUAUGAUCAAUCAGUACCAAGGAACCACAAAUACCACUCUACGACUGCUGUGUUCAAUAACUGGUGGUCAAAACAAAGCUGUAUGGGAAGAUGUCACUGGAUCUACUCCUCUAACUUUUGUCAAGGAUUGUGUUUCCUUCACGACAACAGUUUCAGCAAGAUUUUGGUUAAUGGACUGCAGAAAUGUUGCCGAUGCUGCUCGAAUGGCUACUGAGCUGUACACCCAGGCAGCACAUGUUCCAUUUAUGGCUAAAUUCGUGGUGUUCGCCAAGAAAAUAUCUCCUCUAGAAUCAAGAUUGAGAGUAUUCUGUAUGACAGACGAUAAGGAGGAUAAAACAUUGGAGCAUCAAGAACAUUUCACAGAAAUAGCCAAGAGCAGAGACAUUGAGUUACUGGAAGGAAAAGAUAUCUUCAUGGAAUUUGCUGGAAACCUUGUGCCAGUCCUGCAGUCAGGUGACCAGCCCAGAUUGGGAUUCAAAGCUUUCAAAGAGAAUCGAUUGGCCUUCAGCAUGCGAAUGAGAGACCAGGAUGAGGAAGCAACUGGACGCAUUGUAUUUAUGAGUGAAGCCAAAGUGGCACGAGGCGAACCAAAUCAAAUUCCACUGUGUACCCUCAAUCUUGUUAUGCCAAGUGAUGUUCUUCCAGGGAGAGAUUCCCAAUCAGAUUUGCUGUCUAUUGAUAAGGAUCACAGUUUCCUUCAGCAUGGGGGCAUCAGCAAACCAGAUACAAUUCAUAGAGCAGACUUCAGGCUUUCUGAUAUUUGUAACUUGUUGGAUGAGGAUUGGGAGAAGCUGGCAAUGGAAUUAGACAUUCCACCAUCAGAUAUUGAACUGAUAAGAGAGGAAUAUCCUGAAAAUCAUCCUCAACAAGCUAUGAUCAUGUUCAGAUUGUGGUUGAGACAGAAGGCAAACAAGGCCACAGGAAAUAUUUUGGAGCUGGCACUUAAUAAGAUCGGAAGGCAAGAUAUUGUAGACAAAUGCAUUUGCAAUGUUGAGUUGGUAACUGAUGACAUGGAGAAGGCUUUGGCUAAAAUUCAUCUUGAUCAAUCCGGUUUUGAUAAUCUGAAGGAGGAAUUGGGCCCAUCCAGAGACACUUCUUUAAGAAGAGAUACUCAUAUCGAUAAAUCUUUUCAAGAUGAAAUUGACAAAAGCGAGAAAAGUGAAGAUGCUCAAAAUCAAAAUUCAUCAGGAAAGGAUUUCACUGAUACCAUAAGUGAUCACUUGAACCGAAACGGAUUUCACGAACCUGAAACUUUAGAUAAUCGGCCUAUGACACCUAUAAAUGCCAACGCAGAAGUUCUUGAAGAAAUAACGCAGCAGCUGAAUCUGAUACAUUCAACACCUAAAGUUAUGGGAGACCCCAAUGCUAACACACCUCCUUCCAGUCCUGCCGAGUUUGGUUUUGACAAAGAACCAAAUUUGGUCGAGCAAUACGUUACUGAAAAUAAAACUGUUUUAGGAACUCCGAAACAUGAAGAAAUCAUUUCAACUUCGCCUAUUGAACAGACACCAAUGGAAACUUUUGUGGAUCCAAUUGUUGUUCUCAAGAAAAAUGUUAGUGAUACAUUAACAUUUUUACAUCAAGAAAGAAAUGACUUUCUUUCCGAAGAUGAUAUAAUCAUUCCAACCAGAAAAGACGAUCAUAUUUCAAAAGAGAUUGAUUUGAGCAGUAUCAGCCUUAAGACUCCCAAAAGGUCUACCAGUGAUUAUGAUGAUGGUCUUCGGGAUGUUGUAGAAUGUGAAGUUGAUGAAGUCAUCAAACAAGCCGAAGAGGUAGUAAAUGAUAAGCUCAAUACGUUAGAUAACUCUGUGGAUGAAAGGUUACAAAAAGUACUCCGAUUUAAAGAAGAGAUAAGCGAAGAUUUUGUAAAUGAUAAAGAUUUUACCGAAGAAAAAGUUGACAGUGUCUUUGAGGAUGUGAAGACCACUACUGAGGACUCCUUGGAUAAUUUAGAGAGUCUCAAAGAUGACUCCAUAUCAACAGUUCAAGAAAAGAGUGAAGAAGCCUUCAAGUUCUUAGAAAAUGAGGAAUCGAGUCCUCUUAGCAAUAGAAUUGACGAUACUCGAACAUUUUUGGAAAAAGAAUUAGAGGCCACAAUAGUAGAUGAUCUCAUUUCAAAAAGUCCUAAGAGUGCAAUCCCAGUUGCCAAACCGAGAAAAAGUGUAGAGAAAGAAAAGAAUGUAGACGUUUUGUUCAAUGAAGAUAGAGCCUUGUCACCGACGGAUGGAGAAUUACUGACGAAAAUUCCAAUUUCCACAAAGGGAACCAAGGUUAAAACAAUUAAGAAACACUCCAAAGACCCACUCAAAGAGUUUGUGAAUCUCUCUAAAGAUGUUAAUUGGGAUGACGAUGAAGAAACAAACAAAAUAAUCAACACUGUUACUCUAUCUAGUGAUCCCAUUGUACAAACAACAGUUACAAGGACGAUAAUAGAAGGUACCCCAGAAAAUGUCAGGAGCAAAAUACCUGUGUUGCAAUCGGAACUGUCAACUGAAACCCUCGAGAAGCAUGAUUUCGAAUUUUCCCCCAAAAGUAAAAUCCCUGUUUUAAAAACGGAAAGUACAAGAAUAAACUCCCCGGAAACAAUACAAAUAGAACGAACGAUCAUUUCCCCGGAUUCUUCAAAAGUUGUAGAAACAACUACAACAAUAAUGUCGCCGGGUUCUAAAAUAUCCACAAAAAGUAGCACGUUAGAUUCGGAGUCUGAUGAUGACAGCAGAAGGAGUCCACCUUUGAAGGGAAUCUUGAAAAAGACUGCGAUGAGAACGGUCGGAAGUUCUAGUGGUUCAGACAUAGCUCUCCAUGAAGAAGGUGCAGAACUUAGCGAUGAUGAAUCAGCAUCAAAAAAUCCAAAAUCCUUAGAGACAUGGCAUGUUCUUUAUCCUCUAGUGUGGUCGUUAAUCGCAUUGGCAACAAGCAUGAUCGUGUUGGCACUGCUCGCACAAACUGACUAAUGAAGAUUUUUAUCAACAAGAACCCCAGUUUACAAUAACAACCACAGAAGAGAUAGACCCAGUCACUGGAGCAAAAAUUACAAGAACGGUUAGGACAGCAAGCCAAAUGAUAUCGUCACCAUCAAAUCAAAGUGAAGCUGAUUUUCGACAUUCAGUGCAAACUGCCUUGGAUCAGUUCAUGGCUGAGGAGCGAAAUCCUCAUUAAAAUAAGAAGCCUAUAUAGAUUGUAGGGGCAAUACAAUUGCUACUUAAAUCAAAUUGGAAAGGCUAUUUUUAUCGACGUUCUUUGAACAGUAUUGUCCCAGUGAUUUAUUUAUACACUUUUUAAUUGUAUUUAUUAUUACUUGUAUGCUGCUUCUCAGAUUAUUGAACGAUUUUUAUUUCACUUGAAUGCUCUAUUCAAAUUCUUAAAUGAUUAUAAUUUUCAAUGACCAAUUAUGACAGUUGUGAGAUUUUAAUACUUAUUAUUGUAUAGCAAGUUAUAAAUCAGCGACGUGUUCUAAAAUCAAUGUACAUUUUACUACUUAAAAAA
RNAcentral lists this unclassified non-coding RNA (3679 nucleotides) under Leptinotarsa decemlineata (Colorado potato beetle). RNAcentral's name for it is "uncharacterized LOC111507952, transcript variant X1". Lineage: Eukaryota; Metazoa; Arthropoda; Insecta; Coleoptera; Chrysomelidae. The record is from RNAcentral.